This 429-nucleotide ribosomal RNA is filed under the name Acidobacteriota bacterium. RNAcentral describes it as "Acidobacteria bacterium partial 16S ribosomal RNA". It matches the Rfam family "Bacterial small subunit ribosomal RNA", at positions 355 to 776 of the family's 1533-position model. Lineage: Bacteria; Pseudomonadati; Acidobacteriota. The record is from RNAcentral.
UGGGGAAUUUUGGACAAUGGGGGAAACCCUGAUCCAGCCAUCCCGCGUGUGCGAUGAAGGCCUUCGGGUUGUAAAGCACUUUUUGCAGGAAAGAAACGUCAUGGGUUAAUACCCCGUGAAACUGACGGUACCUGCAGAAUAAGCACCGGCUAACUACGUGCCAGCAGCCGCGGUAAUACGUAGGGUGCAAGCGUUAAUCGGAAUUACUGGGCGUAAAGCGUGCGCAGGCGGUUCGGAAAGAAAGAUGUGAAAUCCCAGAGCUCAACUUUGGAACUGCAUUUUUAACUACCGGGCUAGGGUGUGUCAGAAGGAGGUGGAAUUCCGCGUGUAGCAGUGAAAUGCGUAGAUAUGCGGGGGAACACCGAUGGCGAAGGCAGCCUCCUGGGAUAACACUGACGCUCAUGCACGAAAGCGUGGGGGGCAAACAGG